CUCAACCACUGCGCCACCAGGGAAGCCCCAAAACCCUGCAGACCUCGGGAAAUAACAGAAGGCUAUGGAGAUCGAUAAGCCGGUUCUUGCCUCAAUGAGCUCCCAAUUUAGUGGAGAAAAAGAGACACGCAAUUGAACAAAUUGCAGCAAAUGUCCAGUUUCAUCCUUGCUUCUGAGGCUUUCCCGUUUGAAGAGUGUGUAACCACCCAUGAGACUGUUGUUCCUGUUUCUCACCAAACUCGAAGCGUCACUUCCCUGACUGACUCUCAGAUGAUGGUGCCUGGGCUAGUGCCCAGCCUCCACUGUGGCCACAGACAGUGGGUAAAUCACAGGUAACUUACAGCAAAUACCACAUUGAAACUACGUUUAUAGGGAAAUAACCCCUGAAAACAGUUCUCCACUCACCAUGGAAGGCAGAAACAACCGUCAGCGAUGUGGCAGUCCCAGCAUCUAAAAUACCCAAGAGAUGACACAAAUCACAAGUUUAGUAUCUGCAGCUUUGUUAGGGUGACUCUCUUCCCUUUGUCAUUUCUGUGAAAACCUCCCUUUUUUUUUUCUCCCCCAAGAGAAUACUCAUUCUAGGUGACUUGGACACAUCUGUCAUCCUAGAAUGGCUUUGCCCUCCCAGGACAUUAGCUGGACCUUUGGAAAUAUGACAUUAUCAACUCCUAAUCAGAGAAGGAACUUUCUGCUGUGUUCCCAGCAAAGGAAAAAAGGCUUGCUUAUCUACAAUUCCAGCAAUUUAUGUGGCCUCUUGUGAUGAAGGACACACAGAGUUAUCUCCAGGAAAUCAAAGUAAAACUGUGUGGACAUUUGAGAAAUUUCUUCUAGGCACCGAUUAGGCAAUAUUUACAUAGGAUCCCGCUGUACUCUGAAUUUCUCCUAUUUACACUCUAUUAUAAUUUUCUGCUCACUUGUUUAUAUUCUACACUAGAAGGUGAGUUUCACAAGGUUGGGGACCAUAUUUGCCUGUUCACCAUGGUGUAGAUUACCAGCAUAUGCCACAGUGUCUGGCACAUAGUAAAUAUAUUUUCAAUAAGUAUUUGAUAAAUGAAGGAGUGGCUAAGAACAGAGCAAACUCUAACUGGCUCAGAUCAUCAGAUCUGCCUUAUUGACCUCAAGGUAUAGCUAUAU
Physeter macrocephalus (sperm whale) is the source of this 1134-nucleotide long non-coding RNA. RefSeq lists it as uncharacterized. NCBI's taxonomy places the organism in Eukaryota, Metazoa, Chordata, Mammalia, Artiodactyla, Physeteridae. The record is from RefSeq and is a predicted model, not a curated record. The transcript has 3 exons.